AGAGGUGAAGCUCAGUGGUAGAGCACUUGCCUAAUAGGUGUGAGGCCUUGGGUUCAACCCUAGCAUAUCUC
This 71-nucleotide transfer RNA is filed under the name Ictidomys tridecemlineatus (thirteen-lined ground squirrel). RNAcentral describes it as "Spermophilus tridecemlineatus (thirteen-lined ground squirrel) tRNA". It matches the Rfam family "tRNA". Rfam says of the family: Transfer RNA (tRNA) molecules are approximately 80 nucleotides in length. Lineage: Eukaryota; Metazoa; Chordata; Mammalia; Rodentia; Sciuridae. The record is from Rfam by way of RNAcentral.